GGAGGCCGCAGCUAUCCCGCUAGGUGACAACGGAGGUGCUCGCCCCCGACCACGGGGAAGACCGCCGCCUCCAAGAGCUCUAUGAGGCCGAGGCGUACGAGCACGCGUGCCAUACUUUCGAGGACGCCAAGGCGCCGCUGGCUCGAGGCCGCUGCCUCGCCUGCCGCGGAGAAGGCAGCGGCUGCGGAAGAAUAGCCCAGAGAUAUCGAAGUUUCUGCACACGAUAAGAACAACAAAAUACAAAAUUACGCAAAUAAUUUGAAGGCGAUUGGAAUGUGGCUGUUAAUAAGAAGUUAAAGAGGAUAAAUAGGAAGAAGAAGCAGAGUGCAUAUCUCAAACAACUGAGUCAAAACUUACAAGUAUGGAACUUUACUUAAUUUACAUGCAAGCAAAUUAGUGAAGUAAUUAACGAGUACAGGGAGCUUACAUGAGCGUGCAGAUAGGCUGUCAGAAAUGUCAAUCAGACAUUUUAGUGUGUGGCGCUGUCUCCUCGGUCCAACUCAACUGAAGAGAGUUCAUGCCAUUUUGGUACCGUUCACAUCUACAUGGCAGAGCAAUGCUUUGCAUCUACUGGUUAUUGAGAAAUCCGAGGACUAUGUUGUACAGCUUUAGGUACGUAGAAGUGCAAUCUUCGGAUUGCUAUUAUCAUGGUUGAUUUACUACGGAAAUUUUCUCUUUGGGAUAAUAUGUGCUCACCAUUGCACUAUGUGGCUACAGGAGUAUUGUUUGAAGUCUAUUUCCUCUCCUCUUUCGUGAACUAUUCGCAAUGUCUUCAGGUUGGUAAAGCAUCCAAAUUGGGAAGUUUUGUGUUAGUACUUUUAAUGUAUGUAGUUUUUUUUGUCGAAAUGGUUAAUGUUUGUAGUUAUGCAUCACAUGAAUGUUCUGAAUGAACGGCAAACAAAAUUGUUCUGGUUGACUGGAUUCGCUACGGGAUCGUCGCUAGAAGAGCUAGAGUAACCUUCAACAUUCAAAAUAUGUAUGAGAGGGGAAAUAAAAAUUGUAUGAUCAGAAGAUUCUACUUGCGCCCAUUCUAAAGCUGAAGAUAGUAUGUUGUUGGCCCUUUAUAUUGGUAUUUUUUCCUGGUUGUUUUAGUAAAGUACGAGAGUUCCACAACUUGCAGUUAGUUUUGGUUCUCUGUUUGAAAGAUUUUUUCUUGUGUGUGCAAGGCAGAAGCAUAUAUUUUAACGCACUCUGUUAUAAACUUCUGUGGGAACUACAGACCACAUGUCAGAAUUCUUUUCUUGGUUGUUGAAAUGCGCCAUUCUUAGAACCUAUUUUAUUGCUUCCAUGUUUAUUUUUAUGUUUGCUGACAAUUUUAUAACCUUGUUGCUUCAAAAAAAUUAUGUUUGUCUAGCAUUAGGAGCCAUCCACAGUAUAACAAAUGGUAGAGAUUUAUGUGGCCGUGAGAGGUCUUAACAAAUGAUCACCUGGGGAGUGCUAAUCAAUUAAUAGCUUUUGUAUACAGAUUCAAAGGGGCAAUGCUUAUGCUAUUUUUAAUUCUCUAUAUUUUGUGAUCAUGUUUUGAGGGAAGAAAAACAGAAAUAGGAAAAACAUGCUUCGGCUGUUUCGAGUUGGUAAUUAAGAAAUUGGUAGUUAGUUAAAUUAAUAACCAGGAAUUGCUCUUCCCUUGGAAUGUUCAGAUAAAACCACUACUUAUGGUGGUGCAGAUCUUCUUCAAAUAUUCGCUCUUAUGGAGCAAGGUAAGUGUGUUGGAUGGUUGAUCUUUUUCUAGAUUAGGCAACUUAAUUACAUAGCCAAUUAAGACUGACCAAUAUUCUUUUUUGAUGUCAUUGGUUCAUGUCCUUGAUUGCAUGGAAUCCAACGUUUCUUCCGUUCCAGAUUUUUUAAUGGGCUCUUUCUGGCUGUAGCUCAAGAAUUAAAUAUUUUAGGUUGUAUGUUUUACCUCAGGAAUUGAAUAUUUUGGAGCUCGAGAGAUCAACAAGAAGUUCAGAGGUAAAAACACUGAAGACAUCUAAUGUACGUUAAGAGAUCAACCUGGCCUAGGUCAAUCUAUCCUCAAGUAUGGUGUGUGUCUUCGUUCCUUUAAUCCAAAAGCAGUUUGUAGACAGCAGCACCUGAAGGGUGAUGCAUUCAACAGUUAUUGAGUUAGGACACCAUUCAUAAGAGAUAUACUUCUUUCUUU
Molecule: non-coding RNA, 2143 nt
Organism: Lolium perenne
Lineage: Eukaryota; Viridiplantae; Streptophyta; Magnoliopsida; Poales; Poaceae
Source: RefSeq, a predicted model, not a curated record